RNAcentral lists this ribosomal RNA (477 nucleotides) under uncultured bacterium. RNAcentral describes it as "bacterial SSU rRNA". It matches the Rfam family "Bacterial small subunit ribosomal RNA", at positions 36 to 518 of the family's 1533-position model. The record is from RNAcentral.
CUGGCGGCGUGCCUAAUACAUGCAAGUCGAACGGUCUUUCUAUGGAAGCUUGCUUCCACUGAGAAGAUAGUGGCGAACGGGUGAGUAACACGUGGGUAACCUGCCUCAUAGAGAGGAAUAGCCUUCCGAAAGGGAGAUUAAUACCUCAUAACAUUGCAGUUUCGCAUGGAACAGCAAUUAAAGGAGUAAUCCGCUAUGAGAUGGGCCCGCGGCGCAUUAGCUAGUUGGUGAGGUAACGGCUCACCAAGGCGACGAUGCGUAGCCGACCUGAGAGGGUGAUCGGCCACAUUGGGACUGAGACACGGCCCAGACUCCUACGGGAGGCAGCAGUGGGGAAUAUUGCACAAUGGGGGAAACCCUGAUGCCAGCAACGCCGCGUGAGUGAUGACGGCCUUCGGGUUGUAAAGCUCUGUCUUCAGGGACGAUAAUGACGGUACCUGAGGAGGAAGCCACGGCUAACUACGUGCCAGCCGCCGC